GCCCUGGUGGGGAGCUUCCCGGAAACGAAAGUCUUCCGGUUCCCGGGGAAGUAUGGUUGCAAAGCUGAAACUUAAAGGAAUUGACGGAAGGGCACCACCAGGAGUGGAGCCUGCGGCUUAAUUUGACUCAACACGGGGAAACUCACCCGGCCCGGACACCGUGAGGAUUGACAGAUUGAAAGCUCUUUCUUGAUUCGGUGGUUGGUGGUGCAUGGCCGUUCUUAGUUCGUGGAGCGAUUUGUCUGGUUUAUUCCGAUAACGAGCGAGACUCUAGCUUACUAAAUAGUCUGGUCUUUAUUACUGAGGCCUGACUUCUUAGAGGGAUUUUCGGUGUUCAGCCGCACGAGAUUGAGCAAUAACAGGUCUGUGAUGCCCUUAGAUGUCCGGGGCUGCACGCGCGCUACACUGGCGAAAUCAGCGUGCUUUUCCUAUCUCGAAAGAGAUUGGUAAACCGAUGAAAAUUUGCCGUGAUUGGGAUCGGAAAUUGCAAUUAUUUUCCGUGAACGAGGAAUUCCAAGUAAGUGCGAGUCAUCAACUCGCGUUG
Molecule: ribosomal RNA, 544 nt
Filed under: Aphelenchus environmental sample
Lineage: Eukaryota; Metazoa; Nematoda; Chromadorea; Rhabditida; Aphelenchidae
Description: SSU rRNA
Rfam family: Eukaryotic small subunit ribosomal RNA
Source: RNAcentral